GGUUAAGUGAAUAAGGGCGCACGGUGGAUGCCUUGGCACUAGGAGCCGAUGAAGGACGGGACUAACACCGAUAUGCUUUGGGGAGCUGUAAGUAAGCUAUGAUCCAGAGAUUUCCGAAUGGGGGAACCCAAUAUCUUUUAUAGGAUAUUACUUUUCAGUGAAUACAUAGCUGAUUAGAGGUAGACGCAGAGAACUGAAACAUCUUAGUACCUGCAGGAAGAGAAAGAAAAUUCGAUUCCCUGAGUAGCGGCGAGCGAAACGGGAAGAGCCCAAACCAACAAGCUUGCUUGUUGGGGUUGUAGGACUCCAAUAUGGUAGUCUGUUAGUAUAGUUGAAGGAUUUGGAAAAUUCCGCUAAAGAGGGUGAAAGCCCCGUAGACGAAAUGCUGACAACACCUAGGAGGAUCCUGAGUACGGCGGAACACGAGAAAUUCCGUCGGAAUCCGCGGGGACCAUCCCGCAAGGCUAAAUACUCCCUAGUGACCGAUAGUGAACCAGUACCGUGAGGGAAAGGUGAAAAGCACCCCGGAAGGGGAGUGAAAUAGAUCCUGAAACCGUGUGCCUACAACAAGUCAAAGCUCGUUAAUGAGUGAUGGCGUGCCUUUUGUAGAAUGAACCGGCGAGUUACGAUUGCAUGCGAGGUUAAGUCGAAGAGACGGAGCCGCAGCGAAAGCGAGUCUGAAUAGGGCGAAUGAGUAUGUAGUCGUAGACCCGAAACCAUGUGAUCUACCCAUGUCCAGGUUGAAGGUGCGGUAAAACGCACUGGAGGACCGAACCCACGUACGUUGAAAAGUGCGGGGAUGAGGUGUGGGUAGCGGAGAAAUUCCAAACGAACUUGGAGAUAGCUGGUUCUCUCCGAAAUAGCUUUAGGGCUAGCCUCGGAAUUGAGAAUGAUGGAGGUAGAGCACUGUUUGGACUAGGGGCCCAUCUCGGGUUACCGAAUUCAGAUAAACUCCGAAUGCCAUUCAUUUAUAUCCGGGAGUCAGACUGCGAGUGAUAAGAUCCGUAGUCGAAAGGGAAACAGCCCAGACCACCAGCUAAGGUCCCAAAAUAUAUGUUAAGUGGAAAAGGAUGUGGGGUUGCACAGACAACUAGGAUGUUGGCUUAGAAGCAGCCACCAUUUAAAGAGUGCGUAAUAGCUCACUAGUCGAGUGACCCUGCGCCGAAAAUGUACCGGGGCUAAACAUAUUACCGAAGCUGUGGACUACACCAUUAGGUGUAGUGGUAGGAGAGCGUUCUAAGGGCGUUGAAGGUCGAUCGUGAGGACGGCUGGAGCGCUUAGAAGUGAGAAUGCCGGUAUGAGUAGCGAAAGACAGGUGAGAAUCCUGUCCACCGUAUGACUAAGGUUUCCUGGGGAAGGCUCGUCCGCCCAGGGUUAGUCGGGACCUAAGCCGAGGCCGAUAGGCGUAGGCGAUGGACAACAGGUUGAUAUUCCUGUACCAGUUGUUUUUGUUUGAGCAAUGGAGGGACGCAGUAGGCUAAGGAAUGCAUGCGAUUGGAAGUGCAUGUCCAAGCAAUGAGUCUUGAGUAGAGUUAAAUGCUUUACUCUUUAAGGACAAGUUGUGACGGGGAGCGAAAUAAUAGUAGCGAAGUUCCUGAUGUCACACUGCCAAGAAAAGCUUCUAGUGAGAAAACAACUGCCCGUACCGUAAACCGACACAGGUAGUCGAGGAGAGUAUCCUAAGGUGAGCGAGCGAACUCUCGUUAAGGAACUCGGCAAAAUGACCCCGUAACUUCGGGAGAAGGGGUGCUGACUUCGGUCAGCCGCAGUGAAUAGGCCCAAGCGACUGUUUAUCAAAAACACAGGUCUCUGCAAAAUCGUAAGAUGAAGUAUAGGGGCUGACGCCUGCCCGGUGCUGGAAGGUUAAGAGGAUGGGUUAGCUUCGGCGAAGCUCAGAAUUGAAGCCCCAGUAAACGGCGGCCGUAACUAUAACGGUCCUAAGGUAGCGAAAUUCCUUGUCGGGUAAGUUCCGACCCGCACGAAAGGCGUAACGAUUUGGGCACUGUCUCAACGAGAGACUCGGUGAAAUCAUAGUACCUGUGAAGAUGCAGGUUACCCGCGACAGGACGGAAAGACCCCGUGGAGCUUUACUGUAGCCUGAUAUUGAAAUUCGGCACAGCUUGUACAGGAUAGGUAGGAGCCUUUGAAACGUGAGCGCUAGCUUACGUGGAGGCGUUGGUGGGAUACUACCCUAGCUGUGUUGGCUUUCUAACCCGCACCACUUAUCGUGGUGGGAGACAGUGUCAGGCGGGCAGUUUGACUGGGGCGGUCGCCUCCUAAAAGGUAACGGAGGCGCUCAAAGGUUCCCUCAGAAUGGUUGGAAAUCAUUCAUAGAGUGUAAAGGCAUAAGGGAGCUUGACUGCGAGACCUACAAGUCGAGCAGGGUCGAAAGACGGACUUAGUGAUCCGGUGGUUCCGCAUGGAAGGGCCAUCGCUCAACGGAUAAAAGCUACCCCGGGGAUAACAGGCUUAUCUCCCCCAAGAGUUCACAUCGACGGGGAGGUUUGGCACCUCGAUGUCGGCUCAUCGCAUCCUGGGGCUGUAGUCGGUCCCAAGGGUUGGGCUGUUCGCCCAUUAAAGCGGUACGCGAGCUGGGUUCAGAACGUCGUGAGAC
Molecule: ribosomal RNA, 2614 nt
Filed under: Enterococcus faecalis
Lineage: Bacteria; Bacillati; Bacillota; Bacilli; Lactobacillales; Enterococcaceae
Description: partial 23S ribosomal RNA
Rfam family: Bacterial large subunit ribosomal RNA
Source: RNAcentral